GACGAACGCUGGCGGCGUGCUUAACACAUGCAAGUCGAACGGAAAGGCCCUGCUUUUGUGGGGUGCUCGAGUGGCGAACGGGUUAGUAACACGUGAGUAACCUGCCCUUGACUUUGGGAUAACUUCAGGAAACUGGGGCUAAUACCGGAUAGGAGCUCCUGCUGCAUGGUGGGGGUUGGAAAGUUUCGGCGGUUGGGGAUGGACUCGCGGCUUAUCAGCUUGUUGGUGGGGUAGUGGCUUACCAAGGCUUUGACGGGUAGCCGGCCUGAGAGGGUGACCGGCCACAUUGGGACUGAGAUACGGCCCAGACUCCUACGGGAGGCAGCAGUGGGGAAUAUUGCACAAUGGGCGGAAGCCUGAUGCAGCAACGCCGCGUGCGGGAUGACGGCCUUCGGGUUGUAAACCGCUUUCGCCUGUGACGAAGCGUGAGUGACGGUAAUGGGUAAAGAAGCGCCGGCUAACUACGUG
This 468-nucleotide ribosomal RNA is filed under the name uncultured bacterium. RNAcentral describes it as "partial 16S ribosomal RNA". It matches the Rfam family "Bacterial small subunit ribosomal RNA", at positions 28 to 507 of the family's 1533-position model. The record is from RNAcentral.